UACGUAGGGGGCGAGCGUUGUCCGGAUUUAUUGGGCGUAAAGAGCUCGUAGGCGGCUUGGCAAGUCGGGUGUGAAACCUCCAGGCUCAACCUGGAGACGCCACUCGAUACUGCCAUGGCUAGAGUCCGGUAGGGGACCACGGAAUUCCAGGUGUAGCGGUGAAAUGCGUAGAUAUCUGGAGGAAUACCGGUGGCGAAGGCGGCGUUCUGGACCAUUACUGACACUGAAUCGCGAAAGCUAGGGGAGCAAACGGG
Molecule: ribosomal RNA, 254 nt
Filed under: uncultured bacterium
Lineage: Bacteria
Description: partial 16S ribosomal RNA
Rfam family: Bacterial small subunit ribosomal RNA
Source: RNAcentral